Molecule: non-coding RNA, 100 nt
Organism: Chelonoidis abingdonii (Abingdon island giant tortoise)
Lineage: Eukaryota; Metazoa; Chordata; Testudines; Testudinidae
Source: RefSeq, a predicted model, not a curated record
ACCACAGAGCCACUUAGAAGGAAACACAGUAGCACAAGCCUGAGCAAGGUCCUGAGUUGAGGCUGCUGGAUGAUGUGGCCCAGCUCAGCCAGGAUCUUGG